Podarcis lilfordi (Lilford's wall lizard) is the source of this 66-nucleotide non-coding RNA. NCBI's taxonomy places the organism in Eukaryota, Metazoa, Chordata, Lepidosauria, Squamata, Lacertidae. The record is from the annotation of a GenBank genome assembly.
GAGUUCAGCGGUAGAGCAUCUGCUUUGCAUGCAGAAGGUCUCAGCUUCAGUCCCUGGCAUCUCCCA